RNAcentral lists this transfer RNA (88 nucleotides) under Naumovozyma castellii. RNAcentral describes it as "tRNA-Pro". It matches the Rfam family "tRNA". Rfam says of the family: Transfer RNA (tRNA) molecules are approximately 80 nucleotides in length. Their secondary structure includes four short double-helical elements and three loops (D, anti-codon, and T loops). The record is from RNAcentral. Lineage: Eukaryota; Fungi; Ascomycota; Saccharomycetes; Saccharomycetales; Saccharomycetaceae.
GGGAGUGUGGUCUAGUGGUAUGAUACCCGCUUUGGGAAGUUGUUCUCGAACAUGCGGGUGGCCCGGGGUUCAAUUCCCCGCUCUCCCC